RNAcentral lists this transfer RNA (73 nucleotides) under Acidimicrobiia bacterium. RNAcentral describes it as "tRNA-Thr". It matches the Rfam family "tRNA". Rfam says of the family: Transfer RNA (tRNA) molecules are approximately 80 nucleotides in length. Their secondary structure includes four short double-helical elements and three loops (D, anti-codon, and T loops). Lineage: Bacteria; Bacillati; Actinomycetota; Acidimicrobiia. The record is from RNAcentral.
GCUGGCGUAGCUCAGUUGGCAGAGCAGCCGCCUUGUAAGCGGCAGGUCGCGGGUUCGAUUCCCGCCGCCAGCU